This 11524-nucleotide long non-coding RNA is filed under the name Gossypium raimondii (Peruvian cotton). RNAcentral describes it as "long non-coding RNA (GRAI_LNC008818)". Lineage: Eukaryota; Viridiplantae; Streptophyta; Magnoliopsida; Malvales; Malvaceae. The record is from RNAcentral.
CCUGCUUGAUGAUUCUGAUGCUGUCGUAUGCUCGUAAGGCGUUAAUGCUCGGUUGAAAGUUAUCUUCUUCCGGGUUAUCGUCUCGGAAAGUUCUUCGAAACUGGGGAUAAAACGUUUUGUAAAGAUUAGUACCCUCGUCAUAGUAGGUCUUGAUUCCUAAAAUGCCUUGCAUGGAAGAAAUCACAGAACUGUUAAAAGAAUCGAAGUAACUCGAGAUGGUAUCCGUAAUGAUCCAAGCUGAGUCUCUUCCAACAAGUCCAAUGUCCUUUGCUUUCUCAAACAAAUGGAUUGUCAUCGGUAAUGACGAUUGAAGAACAAUGUAAACCCGAGAUUGAACGUUGAAUAAUUUUAUCAACUCAUCUUGCACAACUUUAUUUGGAUUAGAAACAGAAGAAAGUGGAGGAAGAACCAAUCGAUAUUCAAUCUCGGAACCAACAUCGCGUAGAGCCUCCGAUAAAAGAGCUAACUUCCCAGAAUCACCACCAAAGGCAUCAUCUUCAUAAAUUACAACAACCCUUUUCCAGUUAAAUGAACUGAUAGUAGCUGCAAUGCAUUUCAUUUGUUCGGAGUCACCAUUAGCCAUUGCUACCAAGAAAGGCCAACGAGUGGGUGUUAUUAUAGCUGGUGCUGCAAAUGAAAGAACCGGAACUCGAGCUCGGCUUCCUAUAUCAGCAACCAAAGCUGCUUCUUCCCAUGUUUCCAACCCAAUGAUUGCUUUAACUUCUUGUUCUUCAAUCAAUUUCUUAGCUGUAAUCAGAUUAACCAUUAGUAAAUGUUAAAUAAACCUCGUUGACAUACUAAUUAAGGGAUCACUAAAAAGAAUGAAUCACUAACCAGCAGUAGCUGCAAGUAAGGGAUCUCUUCUAGAAUUCUGAAUAUAAAGGGAGAGCUUAUGGUUGUUUGAAACGUUGUUAUUGAAACUCUGAACUGCUAUUUCCAAAGCUGUUUUCUCUUCUUUUCCGAUUCGAGAAUCGACGUCGAUGAUGGCACCGAUGUUAGUCACCUUGUUAUCGGUCUCGUCACCAUAUGAAGAAACGAGAAAGAGAGAUAUGAACACAAAAGUGAUACAAGGUCGUUGCAUGUUGUUAGGGAACUCGUAAAAUAAUUGCAUAUAUGAUACAUAUAGGAACUCAAAGCGUUUAAAUAAUAAUGAAAAAAGAUUCGUUUAAAAGCCGUCACUAUGGAAAUUUAUGCCCCGGAACUUUUGGUCUAUAUGUUGGACUUGGUCUGCCAUGAAAAAAGUCAGCUAUGUUUACUUCGUUAAAUGAUAGAGAAUCUUCAUGAAACGCCCCCCUUUUCUUUUUCUGGUUUUCCUGCAAAUUGUGGAAAGUUAGAGAUUUGACCCAUGAAAACUAGGACCAAAAUCAUUUCUGGAAAAAAAAAAUUAACGGAUAAUGAUAAAUUUAAAUCUAAAUCUAAAUCUUUGUAUCUUUUAUUUUAUUUAUUUGAUUCUUAUUUCUUUUUAACUAAAUUUGAUUUUUAACUUUUUAAAAAAUGUAAAAUUAUCUUUUUAACGGAAAUACAACUAAAAUAAUCAUCUUUUAAAGGAAAAAUGCUCAAAUUAGGGCUUAACAAUUUAGAUAUUGCUCACAUUUCAAAAUGGUCAAAUGAGACCCUAACCUUUAUGAAAGUUUUCAAUAGGGAUUUUUCAUGUACUUCAAUCCAAUUUGUAGGAAAAAUUAAGUAAAUAUUGAUGUGUUUAGAAUAAAACAUGUAACACCUGCAUUAAAUAUUGCUUGAAAAGAAAAGAAAAGAAAAGAAAAGAAAAGAAAGUAGUUAGAACAUAACUUGGAACUUGAUAUACGGCAUUUGAGAAUCUCUUAUUUAAGCAGUUUUGAAAAUGUUAGGCCCUUAUUUGAUCAUUUUGAAAGGUUUGACUUUCAUUUAAGCACUUUUGUACAAGUUAUGCCAUUACAUGACCAUUUUAAAAAGUUUGAUCAUUAUAUGAGCAACCCUUAAAAGGUUGGGCCAAUUUAAGCAUUUAACAACUUUUUAAUGAUGUUGGCGUGGCAACUAGCAUAGUAAUCCAUGUUUACUCUAUGUUAAUAUGGCACUAUUUAUCUUAUGUCACGUCAAUAAAUAAUUAUAAAAUUAUAAAAAUAUUUAAAAAUAAGAAGUUAUAAAAAAAUUAAAGGUUUUAAUUAGUAGUUCCCUUAAAAAAUAAUAAUGUAACUCAUUUUUUGGAAGGUUGAUUGUCAAAUUUAGCUCUUUUUAAAAGGUUUAGAGUUAAAUUUAGCUAAAAAAUAAAAUAAAGGUUAAACUAACAAAAAGAUGUAAAGGUUAAGUACUAAACAUAUAUCAUUAUGCUAAAAAUAAACUUAUUGAUUUAUAUUAGAAGAAUAAAACAAAUGAAAUUAUGUUACAGGUAACAGUAUACAGUUGCAAGAGCCUUCAUUGCUCUUCUUCGGUCUUUUAACCUCCUGGAAUGUACAGCAUUUCAACAUCAGCAGCUUCGGAGGAGGCGGCUUCAUGAUUCUCGGCUGCAUCGGGACUCGAAUAUUUCCAUCUCGGAGAUCCUCGUCCAACAAUUUCCGGCAGUUGAGGCCGAGUUUGGUCUAUAGCAAAAUUAAUUUGUUGUCCUUGGUAUAUAAAUCUAGCAAGCCUAAUUGCCUUACUCCAGAUACUAUUAUUUCUUGGACUAGUAUUGCUUCCAUAUUGGUCUUUUAUUAUCUUGAUGAUGAAUAAGAAGAAACAAAUGGUAGAUGUUGCACCAGAGAUUAUAUAGAGACCCCAGAAGCUAUGAAGCCUCAGUCUUUCGGUUCGAUUGUCGGUCACACUGGUUGAACACUCGGGUGAGGGUGCAAACCACUUCUCUUCAAGAUCUUUCAGCGCUCCGUUUUCCGAUAGAGUUAGGAUAGCUUUUGAGAAGUCCAUGGCGAUUGGAGAGCCUUUAUGGAACAUCUGCAUAGGUAAGAUUUUGUUUAAGUCCAUGGUGCUGAAAUGGAUAGAAACAAGUUUGGAAAAUACUACUUACAAAUCCCAAUCCUCCAAAUCUGUAGGUUGGUGUGGUGGCUGAAAAUUUCUUACAGUAAUUGUUGAUGAAGACCUUUUCGUAUGGAAGUUCGAGAAAUGCAGCAGCGAUGUGCUUCUUUUCGAAUUCUCCUAUAUAGUUGUCUUGGCUGUUGAUUGUCUUGAUGUUCUCCGAUUUAAACUGAAGCACAUCGACUAGAUAGUUUCUUACGAACGAAUCUCCGUCGCAACCUACUUUCAAGUUGUUCCUCUUCAGAAAUUCGAUGUCUGUCACAUUCACUUUCAGUUUAUUAACUGUCAACAUCGAGGAAAGACUAGCCGUGUAACUCGAGGUUAGGACAAGUGAAACAAAGAGCCAAACAAUAACCACAACUCUGGUGAAGUUGUUUUGUACAUUCUCCCCUGCAAAAAAAUGAGCAUUACUUGUAUUGUGAGUAUGCUUGAAUGUUUUCAAUCGCAUGCAGUUUCUGGUACUUACUAUGCGCGAAGAAGAGAGAAGAGCAAGUGAACCACAUCGCGGUUCCGAUUUGAGUCUUCCAUGUGCCUUCAAAUUCAGGAUUGGACUGAUGUUCCAGGAACCAAACUAUGAACAUUGUGUAGAUCAACAUGGCACCAGUAGCCAUCCACAUCUCCCAUGUAAAAGGCUUCAUGAACAUCCAUGCUGAUUCUUCGGAUUUUGCUGGUACGAUCAUGGACAACCCCGAUUCUGCAUAUGGCUGAGUAAACUCCACAAGUUCUGCUCUGUUGGCUAGUAUCGUUAUAUCCCCAACAACAGCAUCGAAAGUCUUCCAUGUGAAGCAUUUGUUAGACAAGAUAAUGAUAAACAUUUAACAAGGACUUGGAAAUUAGUUGAAAGAGUUCCCAUUCAUUACCUUGUUAUGCACGCAACGGACCAAAUCAUCGUAAGUGCUGAAAUGCGGUACAAAUUUGUAAGGCAGGUCAUAACCGAGAACCUCUCGUGCCAUUUUGAAAAGAUCAAUGCAAUAACCUUCAGGUUCCUCAUUUUGAUUACUUUCAUUUUUAACUUUCACAAAUUUCUCAAAAGAGGUUCUACCAGGAACUCCGAUAAUCAAUGGCCUUGCAUCCGUAGGCAUCGCCCAUCCUUUCGGGUUUCGGACUUGGUUCAAGUCAGCAGGCCAGGUGACUUGACCAUACAAUCCUUGAGCUGUAUUACCAUCAUGUUCAGUUUCUUCAUUAACAAGGCUCCUUGAGAAUCCAAAGCUUGGCAACCAAAAGUCAAGCUCUUUAUAUUUCUUGCCAACCACGUUUACUAUUCUCAAUGUAGGAUUGUGUGACAACAUGCCCCUUUCAAAUUGGAUUUCUCCACUUAAACCAGUGAAAUUGCUUGACAGGAUUUUUUCAGACAAUUGUUUUGAACUGAUAUUAGUGUUGAUCAUUCCUUCCAUAGCCUCGGUGAUGAUUUGGAUUGCAUCGUAUGCUUUUAAAGCAUAAAUUCCGGGUUCAAAGUUGUCUUCGUCCUCGUACUUUUUUCGGAAAACUUGCUUGAACUGCCCAUAAAAGCUUUCGUACUCGCUACUAUUCUCGGUAUAAUAGGUCUUGAUUCCUAAAACACCUGCCAUGGAUGAAAUUAUGGAGGUGUUGAAAGAGUCAAGGUAAGUUGUGAUUUUAUCUGUGAUUAUCCAAGCUGAAUCUCUUCCCAUAAACCCCAUGUUCUUAGCUUCUUCAAACAAAUGAAUGGUCAUAACUGAUGAUGCUUUAAGCACAACAAAAACCCGAGAUUCAAGGCUAAGAAGCUUCAUUAGCUCCUCCUGCAUAACUUCUUUGGUAUUAGACAGAGAUGAAAUUGGUGGAAGAACCAAGGUAUGUUCGAUUUCGGAACCAAUAUCUUGUAAAGCUUCGAUUAGAACAGCUAAUUUCCCAGAAUCACCACCAUAUGUUUCAUCUUCAUAAAUGGCGAUGACCUUUUUCCAUCCAUAUGAACGAAUGAUAGCUGCAAUGCAUGUCAUUUCUUCAGAGUCAUUGUUAGCCAUUUGUGCCAAGAAAGGCCAACGGAGAGCCGACAAUGGCAACGUUAUAGAAGGUGCUGUAAACGAGAGAACUGGAACUCGAGCUCGUGUCCCGAUUUCAGCAACCGGAGCCGCUAAUUCCCAUGUUUCCAAGCCGAUAAUGACCGUCACGUUGUUCUCUUUAAUCAGCUUUUCGGCUGCAACAGAAUUAAUUCCUUGUUACCAUAACUUAAAAAACAAGCAAUCAAUGAAUCAAUACUAUGAACAAAUCUGGUACAUGAAAUUACUACAAACCUGCAGCAGCAGCUAGCAUGGGGUCUUUUCCAUGGCUCUGAACAUAGAGGGAUAGCCCGUGAUUGUUCAACUUAUUGUUGAAGCUUUGAACGGCGAUUUCCAUGGCGGUUAUCUCUUCCUUCCCAGUACGGGACGUAACAUCGAUUACGGCACCAAUGUUUGUAACUUUAUGAUCAUCCUCCUUAGCUUGAACUCCUUUAGAGAUGAUAUUGAUGCAUGAAAAUAAGAUCAGUACCAGGAUGACGAGCUGACGUAUUAAAACUGUAUCAAUGUUAGCCAUUGUAUGAAGUCUUUGCAUACUGUUUUGGAACAUAUUACAAAAUAUCUUGAAUCAUGAUAAAACCAAACUAUGCUUUUAAGUUGUUUUAUGCUGAAUAAAAUUUGUGGCUAUAGUUUUAUUAAGCAAUUAAGACAUGUUACGGAAACCCAAAUAUCUGGUCCAACUAAUGUAAUGAAAUGUCUUAAAGUUGAUCUUCUCAAAGGAAAAAAGUCAACUGCAUUUACCUUGCAACUCAAGUUAUCUUGAAUCUAGAUUGUAGGAGUUGACGUGGCUUGGUUUUGAUUCAGUAUUUCAAGAAGCAAGAAUAUUCUGACCAAACAGGAUACUUACUAGGAUUAAACUUGGAAGCGUGUUGGUAGGGGUGAUAAANNNNNNNNNNNNNNNNNNNNNNNNNNNNNNNNNNNNNNNNNNNNNNNNNNNNNNNNNNNNNNNNNNNNNNNNNNNNNNNNNNNNNNNCAAAAGAAAAUGAUCAAAAUAUAUAUAUUUUAAUUUAUAAUUAAUUUUAUAUUUUUUAAUUAAAACUUCUUGAAUUUUUAUAUAUUUUAGUUGGAUAAUUUUGUAUGUUAUGUAAUUCAUUUAAUUUUGUAAAAAUUAAUAUAAUAUAAAGUUUAUUAAAUAUUUUGUAUAAUAUGUAUUUCAUCGGGCACUUGGGCUUAGAUUUGUUCAUGGGUUGGGUCACUCAACCCGACCUAAAGGCCUAUUUGAAAAGUGAGAGGGUUUGGGUAAAAAUAUGAGUUCAAAAAAAUAAGGCCCAUUUAGAAAACAAGUCGAGCCUCGAGUAAGAUUUUUUUGGCCCUAGUCAGGCCUGACCCAAAAAUUCAAAAAAAGAUGAUAUUUUUUCACUAUUUUGCUAUCAUUUCAUUAUUAUGUUACUAUUAUGUUGUUGUUAUUGUAUAACUCUUAUUUUAUUGUUAAUUUUGUUACUAUUUUAAGGUAUUUGCUUGUUAAGUUGCACCUAUCUUAGUGCUAUUUAAGUAUAUAUAUAUUUAAAUUUAUUUUCAAUUUGUUGGGAAUUAUUUAUAUUAAUGUUUUUAGUAUUUUUUAUAUAUAUUUUAAAAAAAUAUAUAAAACUUUAAUAUAAAUAGGGCGGACUCGAGUUUUAACAUUUUUAUCCAAACUGAACUCAAGUAAAAUUUUAAGCCCACUUUUUAGGUCAGACUUGGCAAAUAAGUCUAAAAUUUUAGUUGUACUAACCUGACCGAUUGACACUUUUACUUGGGCUUAUUGAUUAAAGAUUUGACUUUUAGGCUGAAUUUAUCUAAAUUUAUAUAAAAAUUUAAUUUGUUUUUGAUAGAUUUGUAACAAAUGCCCAAUGAUUGUUGGGCUUGGAAACCCUAAACCGAAGCGAGAGCAAAGCUUAAUAAAAAGCCCGUUUAGUUACAUUACUGAAUUUCGAUUCAAUUUCCCUCGAAUCGGGAAAAGUAAAACUGAGCUUAAAAUUAUGGCGCAGUUCUGAAAACCGGGAACCGAGAAGCCCCGCCUCGUCGAGGACAAGGAUGGCGGUGUUAUUUUCUUGUCAUCUUCUUACUCUUCAUCUUCUUCUGGGUAUUUUUUCUCUCACUAUUUUUUAUUUAAUUUUUGUUCUUUGAUUGUUCUUCUUUUGUCUUUUCUCUUCCUUAUUUGUUUUUCCUUAUUUUACAGAUAUGGGUACGUGAGCAUUGAGAAGCAAAGACAGAGGCUUCCAGUUUAUAAGUAUAGAACUGCUAUUCUUUAUUUAGUGGAGUCUCACGCUACUACCAUUGUUGUUGGUGAAACGGGUAGUGGUAAAACCGCUCAAAUUCCACAGGUUUUCUCUCCUUUUUCUUUAUUUAAAAGUAAAAUCUUGAACUGUUUACUUGCCUCCCUCUUUGUGAUUUGAAGUUCAUUCUGAAUCUUUUGUUGCUAGGAGUCUUGACUAUAAUAUGCUUGAAUUGCAGUUUUUAAAAGAAGCUGGUUGGGCUGAUGGUGGGCGUGUUAUAGCUUGCACGCAACCAAGACGACAAGCUGUGCAGGAAGCUUUGAACUCCUAUUCGUCUGCAUUUUCAUCUUUUUCAAGUGAAUGUAAAUGUAACAUUCAUUUCUAAUCAGAUGUGUGAGUCCAUGCCAUAGCAUAUAAUAUUCGUUGUCCGAGUAACUAACAUAAAAAAUUAUUCAUUUUAUAUUUAAUUUAUGAGCAAACAUGCAUAUAAUAUAAUAUACAAUAUUUCAGUUCAUACCAGUUUACGAAAAUUAUAUUGCUAACAUGAGAUUGAAUUAAGAUCAAAUUGUAAUGAUUUUAAAAUAUGAAGUUGACAUUGUGACUUUAAGAGCUUCUCGUCGUGGUGCAACUUAUUGACUAAAUUUCGUCGUGACGAUAAAAGUCUAACAUCAAGACGUAACCGUCUGUUUCUAAAUGGUAUAAUUUGACGCCUAACAAACUUCACAUAUAAAACCAUUCCAAAUCAACUAUUUCCCAUUUCAGCCAAAUAUACAAGAUUCAAAGGCUUAAUUCCAUACACUACUACCUUAAUCACUAAUGUACUAAUACGAUACAAUGAUUCCAUCAAUACCAUAUAACUUGUAAACUAAAAUCAUAGUAUAAGCCACUCAAGCAUUUGGUAUGAAUAUACAUCUUAAAUUUGACCGUGACCAUUUCCAUGUUAUGCAUUCCAAAUUUUAGCAUACUCAAUUUCAUAAUUCAACUAUGUGACUAAUUUCAAAAACAUUAAUUCUAACUUUAUGAUUAAACAUAAUCACUUAUCGUGUUAUAAAUCGACUCAAUUUAAGUACAUGUCAUAUAUUUAUAUUUAACAAAAAAAUUAUACAAAUUUUGUUGAGUCGAGGAUUGCUUCCUUUACGCUAAAGUUACUUUUCAUAAUCUUGAAGUCCACCUGUACUUGCACACAGAGAAAACAAGCCGUACACUCAAUGAUAACGCUCAAUAAUAUUUUCAUAAUUCAAAUCAUUAUAAUACAAGUUUAAACCAAUUGCAUUCAUUCAAUUCAUAGCCCAUCUUUAUACAAUUUCAUGCCCAACAACUUUCAAUACAAUAUAAACAUGCACAUAAUUAUUUUAAAAAAUUAAUUCACUAUGUAUGCAUACCAACUUGUCAUUUACCAUUCAAUUCACAUACUACCAAAUCAAUUCGCUAUGUAUUCAUCUAUACUUAGAUUUUGCUAAUAUUUUAUGUCUGUCUGUAUGUCUAGAUGUACACGUGUUAUGGGAAUUCCAUUACAAGUAUAUUUUGAUACGUUGCACUACAGUGGAUUUUUGACCUGUUAUUAGUUGUCACUCUGUUUACAUAUGUGUUUCAGGAAAAUUACAAGCAAAAUAUUUCGAUUUUUCUCCACAAGAUCCAUAUAAGAAGGCUGGCUAAUAUAAUUUACACUACAGCUGGAUUUCAUCUAACCGAGAUUAAUCUUUUGUUUUGUCAAUUGUGAGCCUGCAACUGUAUUCCAAUCUCAGAUUCUGUUUGUGAUUUAACCUCAUGAUUCUCCAUGCUUAUAUGAGAUGAACUCCGAUCAUAAUCCCAUGUCUGUGAGCUCCAUUUAUAGAUAACUGGUACUCGGGGUGCUGCCGAAACUUCCCCUCGAACACAAACUUUCCCCUUAUAAAUGCAUUUAGCAACUCUCAUUGCCUUGUUCCAAACACUCUCAUCAACUAGAGACAAGGUACCAGCAUUAUUCUCCUCCUCAUGGUGCCAAUAUCGCUUUAGCGAGUAAGCGAGGAAGAGCAGCAAACAAACAGUAGAUGUGGCCACGGAUAUAAGGAAAAGACCCCAGAAGCUAUGGAUGCUCAAGCUAUUGGUUUUACUUUCCUCGGUUACGUCGGCCGAACACUCCGGUGAAGGAGCAAACCAUUUUUGUUCCAAUGAUAUUAGAGUCCCAUCUUCAGAUAACUUUAAAAUGGCUCUUGAAAAAUCUCUGGCUAUUGGAGAACCUUUCUGAAAUAUCUGCAUAUAUAUAAAGAGUUGCAUUACAUUUAUUUCUAUAAAUUUUUGCAGCAAAGAUUCACCAAGUUAGCAAUAUCAUAUACUCACAAAGCCUAAUCCACCGAAUGUGUAUGUAGGUGCGGUAGUGGUAAAUUUCUUGCAGUAAUGGUUAAGGAAAACUUUCCCAUACGGCACUUCAAGAAAUGCAGCAGCUAUAUGGUUGCUCUUGAAUUCCCCUUCAUAAUUGUAUUCACUGCUAACGUUUUCGAUAUUGUAACUUUUAAACUUGAGGACAUCUUCCAAGUAGGUUCUUACGAACGAAUCACCAUCACACCCGAUUUUCACGUUGGACCGCUUUAGCCAUUCAAUAUCCGUAACAGUCGGUUCUAAUCGUUGCACGGUGAGCAUUGAAGUUAGACUAGCAGUGUAACUAGAGGUUAAGAUCAACGCAACGAAUAGCCAUACUACAACCACAACUCUAGUUAGGUUACUGUAAAUUUUCUCCCCUGAAGAAGGAAAAUAUGAACUGUUUUAGCCUCGGCUAAAUUUUCAUACGUAAAGAAGUAUACAUUUUUGCAGUGGAACUUACUGUGAGCAAAGAAAAUGGAGGAGAAAGUGAACCAAAAUACAGUGCCAAUCUGAUUGUUCCAUGGACCUCUAAAGUCAGGAUUGGACUGGUGUUCUAAGAACCAUACUAUGAACAUUGUGUAGAUUAAGAUGGAACCGGUGACAAACCACAUUUUGGUGGUGAAAGGCUUGAGGAACAUCCAUGCCGAGCUCUCCGGCUUCACCGGAACUAUCAUGGAUAACCCUGAUGCUGCAUAUGGCUGAGUAAAUUCCACUAAAGUUGUUCUAUUAGCUAGUAUAGUUAUGUCACCUACAGCUGCAUCAUAAGUCUUCCAUUGAUUUUGGUAUACACACAUACAAAAAAAAAAAAUUAAUAGAGACAAAACAAGCAUCUAAAUCAAGUAGGUGAGUGUCAUAGUUUCUUUUUCACAUCAUUGUCUAAAUAUCAACUAAAAGUUUGACAAGUUAUCUACGAAAUUCCUGGAAAUAUAAUGGAAUUAUAUAAAAUUUCAGGAAAAACAAAUCAAGGUAAUUAAAAUAAGAACAAGAAGUUUCAGGGCUAUUGCCUUGUUGUUUUACUUUGUUGGCCUUGUUAAAAGGUUGCUUUCACUGUAGCUUGUAAGAAACUCUCAUUUUUUUGUUUAAUAAUGAUAAAUAAAUGGUUCAUUACACUUGAAAUUAUGGUUAAAUUAUAUGAAUAUUUUCUGUCAUAAUCACAAAAAUUGAGAUUAUUAACAAAAAAAAUAUUGAAAAAAAAUGGACCAAGAGACAAAGGGCAUUUUACCUUGUUGUAGACUUUGUGAACAAGUUCAUCAUAUGUGCCAUUGUGGGGAUCAAAUUGAUAAAUUAAAUCAUAAUCGAGAACAGUUAGAACUUCAUAGAAAAGUUCAAUGCAGAAACCAUCAUAUUUCUUUUGGCCUGGAUGUUUACCAUCGUCAACCUUUACAAAUUUCUCAAAUGCGGUUCUUGCUGGAACUCCAAUUAUCAUUGGUUUCUUAUUUGUUGGCAUUGCCCAUCCUUUAGGAACUAGCUUUGAACCAUCUGGCCAAAUGACUGUACCAGUAAAAUCUGCAGAUUUAUUACCAACAUAACCAAUGUUCUUUGAGAAUCCAAUCCCUGGUAACCAGAAAUCCAACUCAUUAUAACUUUUUCCAAUCAAGUUUACAAUCCUUAGUAUAGGAUCAUGUGAUAAUUUGCCUUGUUGAAAGUGAAUUUCGCCGCUUAAACCUGUGAAAUUGCUUGAAAGUAUGUUUUUCAACAACGAAUCUGGACUGUUUUCAUCACUGUCCAUGGCCUGCUUGAUGAUUCCUGUAGAAAAUUGAUCAAUAUUUGGCGUUAAUGCUCGGUUGAAAGUUAUCUUCUUCUGGGUUUUCGUCUCGGAAAGUUCUUCGAAACUGGGGAUAAAACGUUUUGUAAAGAUUAGUACCCUCGUCAUGGUAGGUCUUGAUUCCUAAAAUGCCUUGCAUGGAAGAAAUCACAGAACUGUUAAAAGAAUCGAAGUAAUUCGAGAUGGUAUCCGUAAUGAUCCAAGCUGAGUCUCUUCCAACAAGUCCAAUC